Molecule: long non-coding RNA, 1138 nt
Organism: Micropterus salmoides (largemouth bass)
Lineage: Eukaryota; Metazoa; Chordata; Actinopteri; Centrarchiformes; Centrarchidae
Exons: 5
Source: RefSeq, a predicted model, not a curated record
GCACCAUAUGAAACAUGUGGUUGUCUGAGGGGUAAAUAUUGUAUAUAUGUAUAUAGUUUGUUCAUCAUGGAUGUAGCACACAGGCUCAGUGUUUUCAGUGCGUCUUGCACUGGUGCGUCUUGCACCUUUCUUUAUUUCUUAGAGCUGGCCUGUGUGUCUGACGUGGUGAAACUACGGGGAACUCGGGGAGUUCACAGGUUGCCACUUGCCACGCUUGCAAGACACAAGUCUGCCCUGCAGCCGGGGACAGCAAAAGGACUUUAGAUGAAUUUCUUCCGAGUCUUCCGUUAUGGAUGAAUGUGUUUUCUUGAGCGAGAAACACGUCCAGCUUUAUUGUUGCCGACUCAUCAACAGUUCAGAUCAAGCUGCAGAUUGCAGUGAGUGAGGAAAGAGACAUUACAGCUGCAGGGACAGAGUCAAACCUACAACACUACUGACCCACCAAUGACAGGCAGGACGAGCAGCAAGAACAGACUGACAGAAGAGGGAGAGGACAGAAACAGCUUGAUCGAAAGAAGGAAGAUAUUAAUUCCACCUGCACUUCUCUCCAAACCAACUGCAGCAACCAGCUGUGGACAAAGUAAUAAACACAGAGCUGUUUGUGAAGGAUGGAAACAAAAGAAGAAGACGAAAGGAGUGGAGACUCGCUGUGAACUCGCUCAUUUAAAAAGAGAGGAGAGGAAACAAGGACGACACUAGUCCAGACCAAGAUCCGACAAGAGAAGAGAGGAGACAGCAUGAACUGUGAACUCGCUCAUUUUAAAAGAGAGAGGAGAGGAAACGAGGACGAAGUCCAGACCAAGUCUAGACCAAGAGCCGACAAGAGAAGAGAGGAGACAGCCUGAACUGUGAACUCCAUCCAUCCAUCGUCAACCGCUUAUCCUGUGUACAGGGUCGUGGGGGCUGGAGCCAAUCCCAGCUGACAUCGGUGGCCAGUCCAUCGCAGGAACUCGCUCAUUUAAAAAGAGAGAGGAGAGGAAACGAGGACGAAGCAAGUCCAGACUGAGUCCAGACCAAGUCUAGACCAAGAUCAGACAAUGAGAAGAAAGGAGACAGCCUGAACUGUGAACUCGCUCACUGAAAAGAGAGGAGAGGAGACGAGGACAACACUAGUCCAGACUGAGUCCAGACCAAGAUC